AUGAACGCUGGCGGCGUGCCUAAUACAUGCAAGUCGAGCGAACGGACGAGAAGCUUGCUUCUCUGAUGUUAGCGGCGGACGGGUGAGUAACACGUGGAUAGCCUACCUAUAAGACUGGGAUAACUUCGGGAAACCGGAGCUAAUACCGGAUAAUAUUUUGAACCGCAUGGUUCAAAAGUGAAAGACGGUCUUGCUGUCACUUAUAGAUGGAUCCGCGCUGCAUUAGCUAGUUGGUAAGGUAACGGCUUACCAAGGCAACGAUGCAUAGCCGACCUGAGAGGGUGAUCGGCCACACUGGAACUGAGACACGGUCCAGACUCCUACGGGAGGCAGCAGUAGGGAAUCUUCCGCAAUGGGCGAAGGCCUGACGGAGCAACGCCGCGUGAGUGAUGAAGGUCUUCGGAUCGUAAAACUCUGUUAUUAGGGAAGAACAUAUGUGUAAGUAACUGUGCACAUCUUGACGGUACCUAAUCAGAAAGCCACGGCUAACUACGUG
RNAcentral lists this ribosomal RNA (496 nucleotides) under uncultured bacterium. RNAcentral describes it as "partial 16S ribosomal RNA". It matches the Rfam family "Bacterial small subunit ribosomal RNA", at positions 29 to 507 of the family's 1533-position model. The record is from RNAcentral.